RNAcentral lists this ribosomal RNA (493 nucleotides) under uncultured bacterium. RNAcentral describes it as "partial 16S ribosomal RNA". It matches the Rfam family "Bacterial small subunit ribosomal RNA", at positions 28 to 506 of the family's 1533-position model. The record is from RNAcentral.
GACGAACGCUGGCGGCGCGCUUAACACAUGCAAGUCGAACGGAAAGGCCUGCUUUCCCUUGUGGAUUGCGGGUACUCGAGUGGCGAACGGGUGAGUAACACGUGAGUGAUCUGCCCCCAACUUGGGUAUAAGCCUGGGAAACUGGGUCUAAUUCCCGAUAGGACUGCAGGGUGGUGCCUGUGGUGGAAAACGAUUUUCUAGUGGUUGGGGAUGAGCUCGCGGCCUAUCAGCUUGUUGGUGGGGUAAUGGCCUACCAAGGCGGCGACGGGUAGCCGGCCUGGGGGGGGGGCCGGCCACAUUGGGACGGGGACACGCCCCAGACUCCUGGGGGGGGCGGCGGGGGGGAAUAUUGCAAAAGGGGGGAAGGCUGGAGGCAGCGCCGCGGGGUGGGGAAUGAGGGCUUUGGGUGUUAAACCUCCUUGGGACCGGGAGGAAGCCCCCGGGUGGGAGGGGGGGGGAGGGGAGGGGUAGAAGAAGCCCCGCCUACCUACGU